GGCUACGGCCAUAUCACGAUGAAUGCACCUCAUCCCGUCCGAUUUGAGAAGUUAAGCAUCGUCGAGCCACAUCAGUACUGAGGUUGGAGACAACUUGGGAACCUGUGGCGCUGUAGUCU
RNAcentral lists this ribosomal RNA (119 nucleotides) under Naegleria gruberi. The record is from RNAcentral. Lineage: Eukaryota; Heterolobosea; Eutetramitea; Acrasida; Naegleriidae.